GACGAACGCUGGCGGCGUGCCUAAUACAUGCAAGUAGAACGCUGAAGAGAGGAGCUUGCUCUUCUUGGAUGAGUUGCGAACGGGUGAGUAACGCGUAGGUAACCUGCCUUGUAGCGGGGGAUAACUAUUGGAAACGAUAGCUAAUACCGCAUAACAAUGGAUGACACAUGUCAUUUAUUUGAAAGGGGCAAUUGCUCCACUACAAGAUGGACCUGCGUUGUAUUAGCUAGUAGGUGAGGUAAUGGCUCACCUAGGCGACGAUACAUAGCCGACCUGAGAGGGUGAUCGGCCAAACUGGGACUGAGACACGGCCCAGACUCCUACGGGAAGCAGCAGUAGGGAAUCUUCGGCAAUGGGGGCAACCCUGACCGGGCAACGCCGCGUGAGUGAAGAAGGGUUUCGGAUCGUAAAGCUCUGUUGUAAGUCAAGAACGGGUGUGGGAGUGGAAAGUUCACACUGUGACGGUAGCUUACCAGAAAGGGACGGCUAACUACGUG
This 497-nucleotide ribosomal RNA is filed under the name uncultured bacterium. RNAcentral describes it as "partial 16S ribosomal RNA". It matches the Rfam family "Bacterial small subunit ribosomal RNA", at positions 28 to 507 of the family's 1533-position model. The record is from RNAcentral.